AAUGUGGUCUAUCACUUAAACAAUGUAUUUCUGAGCAGAAGUUUGCUGGUGUUUGAAUGAUGUUUCUAUUGCUAUUUAAGCUUUCAGGAAGAUGAAAUAUUUUACCCUGAGUGAUGGAAACUGAGAAGCUGUUAGAGUGAAAAGAUGAGAGUAUGGAAAACAUACACUGUGAAAUUCCAUGUUUGACCUGACUGUUGAAAUAGAGCUUGAGUUUUGAAAACAAACACACAUAAAAACAACAGAAACUCCUACAAAGGAGUUUUGAUGUGUUAUAAAUGCCUAUAUCACUAAUGCAAAGGUAUUUUCUCAUUUUUUAAAUGUUUGCAGCAAGUUUUUGUAGUUCCUCUCUGAGCUGGCCAUCGUGCAAAGUAUGACACUAAAGGAAAGCUUGUAGAGAACAGUGUGAUGGAGGAAAUAAUGACUUGUGAGUCUAGAAACCUACCACAGGAGCUAGAGCUUCAUGAUUUCUAUCAAAAGGUUCUGGCUUUGGUACUAAAGCAAGCAGGCAGCAUUCUUUCACUCAGGCCUUUGGGAUAUGUACUGUGGAAAACAGUUCUUCUGAUACAGAAGCAUCAGAGAGAGAGAUCUGGGUCAUCAGAUUUGAGACUUCUUGGCUUAGUCUGCUGUGUUGUCAGUUCUGUAGAGCCAGUCCCUCAAAGUUCCAGCCCAAGAACUUUAAAUCUUUGCAGCCUCAAGGGAUUGAAGGGUCUCAAGGCUCUAGACCUGAAUCCUAGAGAUAGAAUGAGCUGCAUCCACCUAAAUAAUGUAACUCACUACGGAACUAAUAAUCUUCCCUUGGAAUUAAUUUCAUGCUGUGUAUGCUAAGGUAAAAAUAUUUUUGGUAAAACACUUCAAUAUCAUCCUCUAUCAGCUGUAAGUCCCCUUUUGAUUUUGAGCCACAACAC
Molecule: long non-coding RNA, 905 nt
Filed under: Ficedula albicollis (Collared flycatcher)
Lineage: Eukaryota; Metazoa; Chordata; Aves; Passeriformes; Muscicapidae
Description: lncRNA (ENSFALG00000024510.1)
Source: RNAcentral